RNAcentral lists this ribosomal RNA (465 nucleotides) under uncultured bacterium. Its description in RNAcentral is "bacterial SSU rRNA". It matches the Rfam family "Bacterial small subunit ribosomal RNA", at positions 338 to 795 of the family's 1533-position model. The record is from RNAcentral.
CCUACGGGCGGCAGCAGUGGGGAAUAUUGCACAAUGGGCGCAAGCCUGAUGCAGCCAUGCCGCGUGUAUGAAGAAGGCCUUAGGGUUGUAAAGUACUUUCAGUUGGGAGGAGGGCGUUGAUGCUAAUAUCAUCAACGAUUGACGUUACCAACAGAAGAAGCACCGGCUAACUCCGUGCCAGCAGCCGCGGUAAUACGGAGGGCGCAAGCGUUAAUCGGAAUUACUGUGCGUAAAGCGCACGCAGGCGGUUGAUUAAGUUAGAUGUGAAAUCCCCGGGCUUAACCUGGGAAUGGCAUCUAAGACUGGUCAGCUAGAGUCUUGUAGAGGGGGGUAGAAUUCCAUGUGUAGCGGUGAAAUGCGUAGAGAUGUGGAGGAAUACCGGUGGCGAAGGCGGCCCCCUGGACAAAGACUGACGCUCAGGUGCGGAAGCGUGGGGAGCAAACAGGAUUAGAUACCCCGGUAGUC